Molecule: ribosomal RNA, 403 nt
Filed under: uncultured bacterium
Lineage: Bacteria
Description: partial 16S ribosomal RNA
Rfam family: Bacterial small subunit ribosomal RNA
Source: RNAcentral
AUUGAACGCUGGCGGCAGGCCUAACACAUGCAAGUCGAGCGAGCGGCGGACGGGUGAGUAAUGUAUGGGGACUGCCCGAUAGAGGGGGAUAACUGCUAGAAACGGUCGCUAAUACCGCAUACUAUCGGAUAACCCAUAUGGGAUUAGCUAGUAGGUGGGGUAACGGCUCACUUAGGCGACGAUCUCUAGCUGGUCUGAGAGGAUGAUCGUCCACACUGGGACUGAGACCAGGCCCAGACUCCUCCGGAGGCAGCAGUGGGGAACAGUGCACAAUGGGCGCAAGCCUGAUGCAGCCAUGACGCGUGUAUGAAGAAGGCCUCAGGGUUGUAAAGUACGUUCAGCGGGGAGGCGGUACCCGCAGAAGAAGCACCGGCUAACGCCGUGCCAGCAGCCGCGGUAAUUC